RNAcentral lists this ribosomal RNA (222 nucleotides) under uncultured bacterium. RNAcentral's name for it is "partial 16S ribosomal RNA". It matches the Rfam family "Bacterial small subunit ribosomal RNA", at positions 57 to 305 of the family's 1533-position model. The record is from RNAcentral.
GCAAGUCGAGCGCUUCACUUCGGUGAGGAGCGGCGGACGGGUUAGUAACGCGUGGGAACGUACCCUUUUCUACGGAAUAGCCUCGGGAAACUGAGAGUAAUACCGUAUAAGCCCUUCGGGGGAAAGAUUUAUCGGGAAAGGAUCGGCCCGCGUUGGAUUAGGUAGUUGGUGAGGUAACGGCUCACCAAGCCGACGAUCCAUAGCUGGUUUGAGAGGAUGAUC